GGGACUGCAUUCAACUUAGAGCCAACUAAGACAAAAUGGGAAUACAACAACUUGGGCACUGACCUGUCCCCUGAGCCCAAAAGCUUCAAUUACCCAUUGCUCUCAUCCCCAGGUGAUCAGUUUGAAAUUCAGCUAACCCAGGAGCUACGGUCCCUCAUCCCCAACGAGGAUGUGAGAAGGUUCAUGUCUCAUAUUAUCCGGACCUUGAAAAUGGAAUGUUCACAAAUGCAUGUGCAAGUGACCUGUGCCAAGCUCAUGUCGCGAACAGGACUCCUGAUGAAACUUCUCAGCGAGCAGCAGGAAGCAAAGCCAUCAAAGGCAGAGUGGGAUAUGGACCACCAGAAAUCUAAUUAUAUUAAUGAGAACAUGGAACAGAGUGAACAGAAACAGCAGAAGUCAAGUGAGCUCAUGAAAGAGGUUCCAGGAUAUGGCUAUAACAACAAACUCAUCUUGGCAAUAUCUGUGACUGUAAUACUAACAAUUUUGAUUAUAAUUUUUUGUCUUAUUGAGGUAAGGACAAUAAUUAAUUCAGGUUUUCAGAAUGCAAUCCUGUCUUUGUGUGGAUUCAGAACCCACAAACUGAAAAUCAACGUCACUUUCCCACUUGACAUUCUUCUUCUGUUGUUUAAGGCUGAGGUAGGCUUUGUUCUUUUACUGCAAUGUACAUUCCAGGAUUUUUAAAGGAUCCUCGCUUCCAGGAGAUCUCUGUGAAAUGAAACCAAGUUAAUCCCACUAGACUAUUUUAAGAAGUUAAGUUGAUAUAAUAGCAAAAUUUCUCCCACCCAAAACUAUGUCAACAAUUGGAUGUACUCACCGAGUCACCCCUUACUCUGCCACUAAUUUAUUCCUUGUUGCUUAAAUGAUGAGAGACAUAUAAUCUCCACCCUCAUGGAGUUGUCCUCCUGGAGAGGAAGAAGACAGCCAAAAGAGAGAAGUAUUGUCUUGUGGACUUAUUAGAUUCACAUAGUAUCAUCCUUCUCC
This 981-nucleotide small RNA is filed under the name Pongo abelii (Sumatran orangutan). Its description in RNAcentral is "retained intron". Lineage: Eukaryota; Metazoa; Chordata; Mammalia; Primates; Hominidae. The record is from RNAcentral.